This 257-nucleotide long non-coding RNA is filed under the name Nothobranchius furzeri (turquoise killifish). Its description in RNAcentral is "lncRNA (ENSNFUG00015000675.1)". Lineage: Eukaryota; Metazoa; Chordata; Actinopteri; Cyprinodontiformes; Nothobranchiidae. The record is from RNAcentral.
AUGGAAAACUGUGGCCGACAGGAUUACCCACAAUACCUGCUGCUGCUGUCUGAGCCUCUAAUUAGUGACGUCAGUCUGUGGGUGGGUGUGAUUAAAGGGCAGAACAAGAACAGGAAGGAUGGUUUGAAACCGAGGAAAACAAGAAUGGAAUGGUGCGUGGUCAUCAGCCGUGAGCUCGGUUUCAGGUGAGCGGUGCUGAGCUGGGACAGCUGCAGCUGAUUUCCAAUCCACAAGGAUGACCUAAAUAAGGAGCAGGC